Tachysurus fulvidraco (yellow catfish) is the source of this 153-nucleotide small nucleolar RNA. RefSeq annotates it as small nucleolar RNA SNORD97. The record is from RefSeq and is a predicted model, not a curated record. NCBI's taxonomy places the organism in Eukaryota, Metazoa, Chordata, Actinopteri, Siluriformes, Bagridae. The transcript has a single exon.
GCACCCAGUGAUUAUAAAAAGACGCGUUAUUCUGAGGGAUUUUACUAGAUGUCAGCUUUUCUACCUUUUCUCCUCUUGAUUCCUUCUUCUCCUGUUCUCUCUUCUGAAGCUGACAACUGGUCCGUUGACUGCGAUUAUGAGAUAUGAGGGUGC